RNAcentral lists this small RNA (300 nucleotides) under Peromyscus maniculatus bairdii (prairie deer mouse). RNAcentral's name for it is "7SK RNA (ENSPEMG00000002553.2)". The stretch from base 1 to 187 matches the Rfam family "7SK RNA". Rfam says of the family: 7SK was discovered as an abundant small nuclear RNA in the mid-70s but a possible function has only recently been suggested. Two independent studies have found that 7SK RNA binds the CDK9/cyclin T complex (known as elongation factor P-TEFb). Lineage: Eukaryota; Metazoa; Chordata; Mammalia; Rodentia; Cricetidae. The record is from RNAcentral.
GGAUGUGAGGGUAAUCUGGCUGCAACAUCUGUUACCUCAUUGGUCACCAGGAUUAAUUUGGCUGGUGUGGCUGGCUAGGCAGGUACGUGUCUCCUUCCUCUCUCAUCUCUUCUUGUGAAUCUCUCCGGAAGCUGCUCCCUCGGUCAAAGACGAUGACACCUGAUUUACAGUAGGAUACUUGACUCACCACACACAAAGAUCAAACAGUUGGUGAAAAUCCUUAGGCCAAGUGGUCAAGAUGUAUGGUGCUGAGUGAAAUAUCAUACUUAGGAUGAAACAGGAAGAACAGCUCAUGUAUCU